GACGAACCGUGCGAACGUUAUUCGGAAUCACUGGGCUUAAAGCGCGUGUAGGCGGGACGGCACGUCGGUCGCUGAAAUCCCCCGGCUCAACCGGGGAACGGGCGCCGAUACGACCGCCCUGGAGGGACGUAGGGGGACCUGGAACUUCCGGUGGAGCGGUGAAAUGCGUUGAGAUCGGAAGGAACGCCAGUGGCGAAAGCGAGGUACUGGACGUUUUCUGACGCUGAGACGCGAAAGACAGGGGAGCAAACGGG
Molecule: ribosomal RNA, 254 nt
Filed under: uncultured bacterium
Lineage: Bacteria
Description: partial 16S ribosomal RNA
Rfam family: Bacterial small subunit ribosomal RNA
Source: RNAcentral